CUGGCGGUCGACGUCGCUGAGGGUCUCGG
Molecule: non-coding RNA, 29 nt
Filed under: Prorocentrum micans
Lineage: Eukaryota; Dinophyceae; Prorocentrales; Prorocentraceae
Source: RNAcentral